UGAGACUCAAUUCUGUAGAGUCAGGGGUGUU
Molecule: non-coding RNA, 31 nt
Filed under: Homo sapiens (human)
Lineage: Eukaryota; Metazoa; Chordata; Mammalia; Primates; Hominidae
Source: RNAcentral